RNAcentral lists this RNase P RNA (406 nucleotides) under Deltaproteobacteria bacterium. Its description in RNAcentral is "RNase P RNA component class A". It matches the Rfam family "Bacterial RNase P class A". Rfam says of the family: Ribonuclease P (RNase P) is a ubiquitous endoribonuclease, found in archaea, bacteria and eukarya as well as chloroplasts and mitochondria. Its best characterised activity is the generation of mature 5'-ends of tRNAs by cleaving the 5'-leader elements of precursor-tRNAs. Lineage: Bacteria; Pseudomonadati; Myxococcota; Myxococcia. The record is from RNAcentral.
GCAGCAGUUCAGAUGGUCGCUGGUCCGCGUGCGGGCUGGAGGAAAGUCCGAGCUCCACAGGGCAGGAUGGUCGCUAACAGCGACUGGGGGUGACCCUAAGGAAAGUGCCACAGAAAAUAUACCGCCCUUCCGGUUCUUCGGAAGUCCCUACGGGGAGGCAGGGUUCAUCCUGCAGGUAAGGGUGAAAAGGUGAGGUAAGAGCUCACCAGUUUCCCGGGUGACCGGGAAAGCUUGGUAAACCCCAUCCGGAGCAAGACCGAAUAGGAAAGCGCCAAGGAUUGCCCGUCCGUGCUUUCGGGUAGGUUGCUCGAGACGACAGGCAACUGUCGUUCCAGAUGAAUGAUCAUCGCCCCUUUCCGGGUAACCGGGGCGGGGAACAGAACUCGGCUUAUGAACCGCUGCAACC